Molecule: long non-coding RNA, 584 nt
Filed under: Homo sapiens (human)
Lineage: Eukaryota; Metazoa; Chordata; Mammalia; Primates; Hominidae
Description: non-protein coding LRRC8C-DT:47
Source: RNAcentral
CCUCGCUCCCGGGACUCGCCAGCGAGGGAUGCCGCCGGCCGCCGGGGGCCUUCUCCAGGACCAGGAGAGAAAUCCUCUCUCCGCUUCACGACGCGGCCACUCCCACCCCUGAGACGCCCACCUGGCGGACUCUGAGGGAGGAUUCGGCUGCGUCUAAUACCACCUCCACCCCUCAUCCCUCACAAUGCGCGGAAAACCACAGGCGGCUGUGCGCGCAGCGUCGGCUCAGCCACCGCAGCUCCUCCCCUGGGAUGAAAAAGCACUCUGACGUCUUGAAAGCUGGCAGCUCUCUGUUUGGAAAAUCUCUGCCCAGUGAAAAAAUGUACCGACAAGAUUACUAAGUAACACAGUCUUCUGGGAAUGCCUUAUCAAUGCCAGCUAUUUGAAGAGCACCCAAAGUCAAACUAGUGCUCCGCGCUGGCAGUCUGGAAAAGGCAGAUGUAUGUGAGUAGAGAAACUGAUAGACAACUAGUUGCUGGCCAGUUGGCCUGUUUUCGUGCUACAAGCCUUCAGAAAACAGUCGCCUCCUUUUACCACGUUUCUAUUUCUAAACCAAAAUGAAAAGGACGUUUGUUCAAAAGAUA